RNAcentral lists this ribosomal RNA (347 nucleotides) under uncultured bacterium. Its description in RNAcentral is "bacterial SSU rRNA". It matches the Rfam family "Bacterial small subunit ribosomal RNA", at positions 355 to 699 of the family's 1533-position model. The record is from RNAcentral.
UGAGGAAUACUGGUCAAUGGGCGCAAGCCUGAACCAGCCAUCCCGCGUGCAGGAAGACGGCCCUAUGGGUUGUAAACUGCUUUUCCAGGGGGAGAAUUUUUCUGUCGUGACAGGAAUUGACGGUACCCUGGGAAUAAGCAUCGGCUAACUCCGUGCCAGCAGCCGCGGUAAUACGGAGGAUGCGAGCGUUAUCCGAAUUUUUGGGGUUUAAGGGGUGCGUAGGGGGGUGAUUAGGUAAGUGGUGAAAACCUGAAGCUAAACGGUAGACUUGCCGUUGAUACUGUCAGUCUUGAGUAUGGUCAAGGAAGGCGGAAUGGGUAAUGUAGCGGUGAAAUGCUUAGAUAUUA